Long non-coding RNA from Olea europaea var. sylvestris, 594 nucleotides. RefSeq lists it as uncharacterized. NCBI's taxonomy places the organism in Eukaryota, Viridiplantae, Streptophyta, Magnoliopsida, Lamiales, Oleaceae. The record is from RefSeq and is a predicted model, not a curated record. The transcript is spliced from 2 exons.
UCCAUCAUAGUAGACAUUUUAGAAUUCAAAACUCCAAUUUCCUAAACAACCUUAGUAAAGUAAUUUCUCAAUUAAACUUCAGAGGCUACAAAGAUAGAGAGGUUAGACUACAAGUGCAGAAAUAGUAGAGAAUUGUUCAUUUUUGAGAUCCACUUGGAAGAGACAAUUAUUGGAGAUCGGAAGUUCGUGGUUUUAGCAGGAUCUUUGAGGUUACAAGAAGUAGAUCAAGAUGUCUUGUGGAGUUGGGGAGGCAGCAUCUAGCUAUAAAUUCAUAUUGUCUAUAGUGAAGAUAACUGGCUUGGUCUCCAAGUUUUUAUCCAGAAACGGAGUUCAACAAGGAAUGCAAGAAAUUAGAGCUUGGGUAGAUUAGAUUUUUGUGUUUUUACCACCUUAACUUUAAUUGUAUAGUUUUGUCAAGGAAUGCAAAAGGAGAGUUUGUUAGGUUUUAUGUAAUUGGCAAUUUCGUGAACAAAGGGAUCGAAAUAAAAUUUUUGUAAAAAGUCAUGGAGUUAGUUGCAAUAUUGUAUAGUUGAGUUACACAAGUUAGGAUUCGAGUUCGGAAUAAGGAAAAAAGAGACUUCGCAAUUUUGUCAA